RNAcentral lists this long non-coding RNA (517 nucleotides) under Rattus norvegicus (Norway rat). RNAcentral describes it as "long non-coding RNA NONRATT015062". Lineage: Eukaryota; Metazoa; Chordata; Mammalia; Rodentia; Muridae. The record is from RNAcentral.
AUUUUUCACCAAAUUACUUACUUUUUUUUGUUUGUUUCUUUUACUAAGCCACCAAAUUACUUUCUUGUAUUAAUAAUUUGAAAAGCAAAAAGAUGUAUAAUAUGAAUAAUUUAUGAUUGUGGCAGUUGUGGUAAUAUACAUGUACCCACAUCGUAGGAAUUCCUGCUGAUUUUUAUUAGCACUGUUGUAAACCCUCUUAUUUUUUAUUUUAUUUUAAUCAGGAAGGGGACAUUAGAUGUCCAGUUGGCAGACCUGACCACUUCUGUUUCCGCUGCGUGGCCUGCCUCUGCUGUGGCUGGCGUCUGUCUGGAGCAGUCUUGAGGGUGCCAUUCUGUCAGUGGAACUGGAUCGCCAGCAUCGAGUCAGAUCCAGGGGAACAGGACAGUCAAUUUUGCUCAGAAGGAGGAGAACCCCUGCUUUGUACAGUAUCUGGCACUCUGUGGGUGCUUAAAGAACCAUGGGACUUUUCAUUUGAAGCAUAUUUGGAUUUUUUAAAUAAAAUUUUUAAUUUCCUUAA